CUAAUACAUGCAAGUCGAGCGAACAGACGAGGAGCUUGCUCCUCUGACGUUAGCGGCGGACGGGUGAGUAACACGUGGAUAACCUACCUAUAAGACUGGGAUAACUUCGGGAAACCGGAGCUAAUACCGGAUAAUAUAUUGAACCGCAGGUUCAAUAGUGAAAGACGGUUUUGCUGUCACUUAUAGAUGGAUCCGCGCCGCAUUAGCUAGUUGGUAAGGUAACGGCUUACCAAGGCAACGAUGCGUAGCCGACCUGAGAGGGUGAUCGGCCACACUGGAACUGAGACACGGUCCAGACUCCUACGGGAGGCAGCAGUAGGGAAUCUUCCGCAAUGGGCGAAAGCCUGACGGAGCAACGCCGCGUGAGUGAUGAAGGUCUUCGGAUCGUAAAACUCUGUUAUUAGGGAAGAACAAAUGUGUAAGUAACUAUGCACGUCUUGACGGUACCUAAUCAGAAAGCCACGGCUAACUACGUGCCAGCAGCCGCGGUAAUACGUAGGUGGCAAGCGUUAUCCGGAAUUAUUGGGCGUAAAGCGCGCGUAGGCGGUUUUUUAAGUCUGAUGUGAAAGCCCACGGCUCAACCGUGGAGGGUCAUUGGAAACUGGAAAACUUGAGUGCAGAAGAGGAAAGUGGAAUUCCAUGUGUAGCGGUGAAAUGCGCAGAGAUAUGGAGGAACACCAGUGGCGAAAGCGACUUUCUGGUCUGUAACUGACGCUGAUGUGCGAAAGCGUGGGGAUCAAACAGGAUUAGAUACCCUGGUAGUCCACGCCGUAACGAUGAGUGCUAAGUGUUAAGGGGGUUUCCGCCCCUUAGUGCUGCAGCUAACGCAUUAAGCACCUCCGCCUGGGGAGUACGACCGCAAGGUUGAAACUCAAAGGAAUUGACGGGAACCCGCACAAGCGUGAGCAUGUGGUUUAAUUCGAAGCAACGCGAAGAACUUACAAUCUGACAUCUCUGACCCCUCUGAGAUAGAGUUU
RNAcentral lists this ribosomal RNA (977 nucleotides) under bacterium X401. RNAcentral describes it as "bacterial SSU rRNA". It matches the Rfam family "Bacterial small subunit ribosomal RNA", at positions 48 to 1015 of the family's 1533-position model. The record is from RNAcentral.